GGAGGAGUGGACAACCGCCAUCCAGACUGUGGCCGACGGCCUCAAGAAGCAGGAGGAGGAGGAGAUGGACUUCCGGUCGGGCUCACCCAGUGACAACUCAGGGGCUGAAGAGAUGGAGGUGUCCCUGGCCAAGCCCAAGCACCGCGUGACCAUGAACGAGUUUGAGUACCUGAAGCUGCUGGGCAAGGGCACUUUUGGCAAGGUGAUCCUGGUGAAGGAGAAGGCCACAGGCCGCUACUACGCCAUGAAGAUCCUCAAGAAGGAAGUCAUCGUGGCCAAGGUGGGGCCGGGGCAGUGGGGCAGGGUGGAGAUGAGGGUGCGGGGCGGCAGCUCACCCAGCCCUGCUUUACAGGACGAGGUGGCCCACACACUCACCGAGAACCGCGUCCUGCAGAACUCCAGGCACCCCUUCCUCACAGCCCUGAAGUACUCUUUCCAGACCCACGACCGCCUCUGCUUCGUCAUGGAGUACGCCAACGGGGGCGAGGUAGGGGCUGGGGCUGCGGGGGAUGGACUUCGCGGCCUGUGGGCCGCCCAUGGUGGGGCUGGUCCUUCCCGGAGCCUCGGCUACUCUCCAUGGCACCAGACGGUGCUCCCUGCUGGGUGGG
Molecule: small RNA, 608 nt
Filed under: Pan troglodytes (chimpanzee)
Lineage: Eukaryota; Metazoa; Chordata; Mammalia; Primates; Hominidae
Description: retained intron
Source: RNAcentral